Molecule: ribosomal RNA, 1290 nt
Filed under: Streptomyces sp. BR123
Lineage: Bacteria; Bacillati; Actinomycetota; Actinomycetes; Kitasatosporales; Streptomycetaceae
Description: partial 23S ribosomal RNA
Rfam family: Bacterial large subunit ribosomal RNA
Source: RNAcentral
ACAGUGGACGCGAGCAUCUGUGGCCAAGUUUUUAAGGGCGCACGGUGGAUGCCUUGGCACCAGGAACCGAUGAAGGACGUGAGAGGCCGCGAUAGGCCCCGGGGAGCUGCCAACUGAGCUUUGAUCCGGGGGUGUCCGAAUGGGGAAACCCGGCAGUCGUCAUGGGCUGUCACCCGCUGCUGAACACAUAGGCAGUGUGGAGGGAACGAGGGGAAGUGAAACAUCUCAGUACCCUCAGGAAGAGAAAACAACCGUGAUUCCGGGAGUAGUGGCGAGCGAAACCGGAUGAGGCCAAACCGUAUGCGUGUGAUACCCGGCAGGGGUUGCGCAUGUGGGGUUGUGGGAAUGAGCUUUCACAGUCUGCCGGCUGUGAGGCGAGUCAGAAACCGUAUGGAUAGGCGAAGGACAUGCGAAAGGUCCGGCGUAGAGGGUAAGACCCCCGUAGCUGAAAUCUGUGCGGCUUGCUUGCUCAUCUCCCAAGUAGCACGGGGCCCGAGAAAUCCCGUGUGAAUCUGGCGGGACCACCCGCUAAGCCUAAAUAUUCCCUGGUGACCGAUAGCGGAUAGUACCGUGAGGGAAUGGUGAAAAGUACCGCGGGAGCGGAGUGAAAUAGUACCUGAAACCGUGUGCCUACAAGCCGUGGGAGCGUCGAGAUCUUCGGAUCUUCGUGACUGCGUGCCUUUUGAAGAAUGAGCCUGCGAGUUAGCGGUGUGUAGCGAGGUUAACCCGUGUGGGGAAGCCGUAGCGAAAGCGAGUCCGAAUAGGGCGAUUGAGUUGCACGCUCUAGACCCGAAGCGGAGUGAUCUAGCCAUGGGCAGGUUGAAGCGGAGGUAAGACUUCGUGGAGGACCGAACCCACCAGGGUUGAAAACCUGGGGGAUGACCUGUGGUUAGGGGUGAAAGGCCAAUCAAACUCCGUGAUAGCUGGUUCUCCCCGAAAUGCAUUUAGGUGCAGCGUCGUGUGUUUCUUGCCGGAGGUAGAGCACUGGAUAGGCGAUGGGCCCUACCGGGUUACUGACCUUAGCCAAACUCCGAAUGCCGGUAAGUGAGAGCGCGGCAGUGAGACUGUGGGGGAUAAGCUCCAUGGUCGAGAGGGAAACAGCCCAGAGCAUCGACUAAGGCCCCUAAGCGUACGCUAAGUGGGAAAGGAUGUGGAGUCGCAGAGACAACCAGGAGGUUGGCUUAGAAGCAGCCACCCUUGAAAGAGUGCGUAAUAGCUCACUGGUCAAGUGAUUCCGCGCCGACAAUGUAGCGGGGCUCAAGCGUACCGCCGAAGUCGUGUCAUUGCAGC